This 433-nucleotide ribosomal RNA is filed under the name uncultured bacterium. Its description in RNAcentral is "partial 16S ribosomal RNA". It matches the Rfam family "Bacterial small subunit ribosomal RNA", at positions 29 to 507 of the family's 1533-position model. The record is from RNAcentral.
AACGAACGCUGGCGGCAUGCCUAACACAUGCAAGUCGAACGAGACCUUCGGGUCUAGUGGCGCACGGGUGCGUAACGCGUGGGAACCUGCCCUUAGGUUCGGAAUAACUCCCCGAAAGGGGUGCUAAUACCGGAUAAUGUCUUCGGACCAAAGAUUUAUCGCCGUUGGAUGGGCCCGCGUUGGAUUAGCUAGUUGGUAGGGUAAAAGCCUACCAAGGCGACGAUCCAUAGCUGGUCUGAGAGGAUGAUCAGCCACACUGGGACUGAGACACGGCCCAGACUCCUACGGGAGGCAGCAGUGGGGAAUAUUGGACAGUGGGCGAAAGCCUGAUCCAGCAAUGCCGCGUGAGUGAUGAAGGCCUUAGGGUUGUAAAGCUCUUUUACCCGGGAUGAUAAUGACAGUACCGGGAGAAUAAGCGCCGGCUAACUCCGUG